AUCUUCAGGGCGGGGUGUAACUCCCCACCGGCGGUAUAGCCCGCGAGCGUUACCUAGUCACUUAGCCAACGCAUGAUUCGGUGAAAUUCCGAGGCCGACGGUAUAGUCCGGAUGAAAGAAGAU
Molecule: non-coding RNA, 123 nt
Filed under: uncultured Sutterella sp.
Lineage: Bacteria; Pseudomonadati; Pseudomonadota; Betaproteobacteria; Burkholderiales; Sutterellaceae
Description: FMN riboswitch (RFN element)
Rfam family: FMN riboswitch aptamer (RFN element)
About the family: The RFN element is a highly conserved domain that is found frequently in the 5'-untranslated regions of prokaryotic mRNAs that encode for flavin mononucleotide (FMN) biosynthesis and transport proteins. This element is a metabolite-dependent riboswitch that directly binds FMN in the absence of proteins.
Source: RNAcentral